GGGUCCGUGGUCUAGGUUGGUUAUGACGUGGCCUUUACAAGGCCGAGGUCGGUGGUUCAAAUCCGCCCGGACCCA
This 75-nucleotide transfer RNA is filed under the name Halorhabdus tiamatea. It matches the Rfam family "tRNA". Rfam says of the family: Transfer RNA (tRNA) molecules are approximately 80 nucleotides in length. Their secondary structure includes four short double-helical elements and three loops (D, anti-codon, and T loops). Lineage: Archaea; Methanobacteriati; Methanobacteriota; Halobacteria; Halobacteriales; Haloarculaceae. RNAcentral also lists the same sequence under 6 other names. The record is from RNAcentral.